ACGAACGCUGGCGGCGUGCUUAACACCUGCCAGUCGCACGGAAAGGCCCUGCUUGCAGGGUACUCGAGUGGCGAACGGGUGAGUAACACGUGGGUGAUCUGCCCUGCACUUCGGGAUAAGCCUGGGAAACUGGGUCUAAUACCGGAUAGGAGCCAUUUUUAGUGUGAUGGUUGGAAAGUUUUUUCGGUGUAGGAUGAGCUCGCGGCCUAUCAGCUUGUUGGUGGGGUAAUGGCCUACCAAGGCGGCGACGGGUAGCCGGCCUGAGAGGGUGGACGGCCACAUUGGGACUGAGAUACGGCCCAGACUCCUACGGGAGGCAGCAGUGGGGAAUAUUGCACAAUGGGCGCAAGCCUGAUGCAGCGACGCCGCGUGGGGGAUGACGGCCUUCGGGUUGUAAACUCCUUUCGCUAGGGACGAAGCUUUUGUGACGGUACCUAGAUAAGAAGCACCGGCUAACUACGUG
This 463-nucleotide ribosomal RNA is filed under the name uncultured bacterium. RNAcentral's name for it is "partial 16S ribosomal RNA". It matches the Rfam family "Bacterial small subunit ribosomal RNA", at positions 29 to 507 of the family's 1533-position model. The record is from RNAcentral.